AUAUAAUAUUAAAGGCAAAUUUGCAUCCCAGAAAAGGUCACAGUUGGACUUUUAUUCAUUGAAAAGAACAUUUCAUGUGCGGAGUCGCAGACUUCAGGGAUACCAGAAUAGUAAAAUUGAUAUUGUCAAUAUUUAUGAUCGAUGUAUCCAAAUUUAGAAAAAAAAAUGUUUAUAAAAAUUUAGUACAAGCUGAGAAAAUUGCUACUACUACGUACAGUAUUAGUACAGAUGAGUGUCAGAGAAGGGAGGCGAGGUUCCGAUAUUUGAUACCUAUCUCGGCCCGCAAUAAGUACUCAUCUGUUGAUUAUCGGAUCCAGUUGUUGUUCAUGUCAGUCGCGUCACUGGAUGUUAUAAAAUGAUAGGGAAGCCGAUUUUGUUAGAUAAACACCUUAGAUAAAUUAUAGUAGUGAUGUCGAGCGCACGUGGAUUACGUUUGUUGAAAUCAUUGGAAACAUAUCGCAAAAAACUACCUGAUGUUUAUGAUUGUUCAACAAUUUUGAAUAAGGUAAAUAUAAUAUCAAUGUCUCAAGGAUGUACAAAAAGUUCGUUCACAGUGGAUAAAUCGAUGUGCAACGGUGGGUUUACUUUGCAUGGGGGAUACAUAGCAUCCAUAGUGGAUGUCCUAUCUUUCUAUUCUAUUCUCAGCCACAGAAACGGUAAAAUUUCCUGGACAACUAACUUGAAUGUCGAUUAUUUGAAAUCGGCAGCAAUCGGUCAAAAAGUAACCGUAGAAACAAAACUACAAAUGAAUGGUAACAUUCCUAUAACGGAAACAAGUUUAUUUGACGAAUCCGGCACAGUGUUGGCAAGAGGUACUGCCUCUUUCAAAGCAGGCAAUGAAGAAUUACAAAUUAUGCUCAAAAAGUUAAUUGGUUUCGAUGUGUAUGAAAAUGAAUGUUAAAAAUGAAUGUACCAUUUUGGUGGAAUUUUAAUUUGUCACACUUGCUAUAUACUUAUUAUGGACCGGCUGAAGGACAUGUAUCCAUGGCUAUGAAUAAAUUAAU
Manduca sexta (tobacco hornworm) is the source of this 1004-nucleotide long non-coding RNA. RefSeq lists it as uncharacterized. The record is from RefSeq and is a predicted model, not a curated record. NCBI's taxonomy places the organism in Eukaryota, Metazoa, Arthropoda, Insecta, Lepidoptera, Sphingidae. The transcript has 5 exons.